GUCCAUGUUGACACAAAAUAUGGAUCUAUAGCACAGUGGACUUUUCUGAGUUGCUUUUAGCAUUCUCGACAUUUGUUGGAGGUAGAAACUCUCAAGACUGGAAGCCAUAAACUCCUUUAUCUGCUUCAGGCAGGAUGUUUGGCCUUUUUCCCACUUCUGGACUUGGCAGUUUUGUAAUCCCUCGGGAACAGGGGAAGAAAGAAGGAAACCCUGGGCCCCACACCCUCCCCUGCAAACACCCAGCCUCCCUGCAGCCCACUUUGUCUUCGGGUUGUUUUCUCUGUCAAACAGUGCUGUGUUUUUCAAGGUCUCAGCUGCUAUCUUUGGGGGAUGCUGCCUCGUGGUCUGGACUAAACCAUUGGAGUGCUGGUUCCUCAUCUGCGGAGGGACCCCGGUGGCACCUGUCUCACCCACCACACAGCUGGACUGUGUUCCCCAGGGCACUGUGUCAGCAAAGCUGGUGUCUGACAAGGGAAGCGAACAGCUCCAGAGAGCCCCUCUCUCCACUCCAAGCUCAGAAGGCUGUUAAGGAGCUACGGCCAGGAGUCCCACCGAGACUGUGCGCCCCUAAGCCACCCUUCCUGGGAGGGUGACGAGCCAGGGGCAUGUGCUGUGCCCUAGAUCCUUCAGGACAGAGUCUCAGAUGUGAGCCCUGCAGGCUUAAAAAUAAACUGACGCAGUUUUUUUUUUGAAUGGUGAAUGCACUUGAAAGUCCAGGACAGAAUGAAGGAGUGGAUUGGGCAGUGUGAAAGGAGGGUGCGUAAGCUGUGGUCGCUGGGCUCCUCUCUUUCUCCUGGGUGAUCGGGCAACGCCCGC
RNAcentral lists this long non-coding RNA (816 nucleotides) under Fukomys damarensis (Damara mole-rat). RNAcentral describes it as "lncRNA (ENSFDAG00000025108.1)". Lineage: Eukaryota; Metazoa; Chordata; Mammalia; Rodentia; Bathyergidae. The record is from RNAcentral.